RNAcentral lists this ribosomal RNA (514 nucleotides) under Lactiplantibacillus plantarum. Its description in RNAcentral is "bacterial SSU rRNA". It matches the Rfam family "Bacterial small subunit ribosomal RNA", at positions 49 to 526 of the family's 1533-position model. Lineage: Bacteria; Bacillati; Bacillota; Bacilli; Lactobacillales; Lactobacillaceae. The record is from RNAcentral.
UAAUACAUGCAACGUCGAACGAACUCUGGUAUUGAUUGGUGCUUGCAUCAUGAUUUACAUUUGAGUGAGUGGCGAACUGGUGAGUAACACGUGGGAAACCUGCCCAGAAGCGGGGGAUAACACCUGGAAACAGAUGCUAAUACCGCAUAACAACUUGGACCGCAUGGUCCGAGCUUGAAAGAUGGCUUCGGCUAUCACUUUUGGAUGGUCCCGCGGCGUAUUAGCUAGAUGGUGGGGUAACGGCUCACCAUGGCAAUGAUACGUAGCCGACCUGAGAGGGUAAUCGGCCACAUUGGGACUGAGACACGGCCCAAACUCCUACGGGAGGCAGCAGUAGGGAAUCUUCCACAAUGGACGAAAGUCUGAUGGAGCAACGCCGCGUGAGUGAAGAAGGGUUUCGGCUCGUAAAACUCUGUUGUUAAAGAAGAACAUAUCUGAGAGUAACUGUUCAGGUAUUGACGGUAUUUAACCAGAAAGCCACGGCUAACUACGUGCCCAGCAGCCGCGGUAAUAC